RNAcentral lists this ribosomal RNA (253 nucleotides) under uncultured bacterium. RNAcentral describes it as "partial 16S ribosomal RNA". It matches the Rfam family "Bacterial small subunit ribosomal RNA", at positions 524 to 776 of the family's 1533-position model. The record is from RNAcentral.
UACGUAGGGUGCAAGCGUUAAUCGGAAUUACUGGGCGUAAAGCGCACGUAGGCGGAUUUGUAAGUCAGGGGUGAAAUCCCGGGGCUCAACCCCGGAACUGCCUUUGAUACUGCGAAUCUCGAGUCCGGAAGAGGUGAGUGGAAUUCCUAGUGUAGAGGUGAAAUUCGUAGAUAUUAGGAAGAACACCAGUGGCGAAGGCGGCUCACUGGUCCGGUACUGACGCUGAGGUGCGAAAGCGUGGGGAGCAAACAGG